Long non-coding RNA from Pezoporus flaviventris, 1487 nucleotides. RefSeq lists it as uncharacterized. Lineage: Eukaryota; Metazoa; Chordata; Aves; Psittaciformes; Psittacidae. The record is from RefSeq and is a predicted model, not a curated record. The transcript is spliced from 2 exons.
UGUGUCUGGUUGCACAGUGGGUACUGAAUUGAGCCUUCACCACUCUGACAGAAUGCUUGCAUCUCACAUCACUGCAUAACCAUCACACGACCUCAAAUCAGACUGCACUUGUGGAAGAGGCGUGCAGAAGUAUUGUUUUCCUUUGUGGUGAUACUGAAAUACCUCACGAGAGGAAACCUCCUGUGCAGUGCCAGGGGAUGGAACAUGCACCAUCUCUGAAAAUCACAACAUCUUUUUUUAUAUACUGGUUUUAAACACUGUUGGAUAUUUAUUCACAUGGCAGAAGCAGGGCUGCCCUGCAAGUGUAUACUCAAAAUAUUUCCUUUGUCAGAUUCUAGCUGCACUGGUGACAGUCUCCAGUAUUAGCUCUUUUGUUAAAUGUUUUUUUUUCCAUUGCAGUCUGGACUUCCCCUUCUCUGUUCCCCCCCCCCCAGGUUGAAGUAUAGUUACCCCUGUUCAUUAACUCAAAGCCCCAGUUUCUAUUCUAAGGGAACCUCAUUUUGUAGUUUGGUUAAAUUCUCUCCAUGGUUGAGGAACAGGUGAACCGUAACCCAUAUUCUUCCUUACCUGUUGUGAAUGUUGUGUGAGUGAGUGGGGCUGAUGUCUUGAAAUGAUGCAUAUAUUAAAGUGUUAGUCUACUUUUCUUAGCUGAGAUGGUGCAGAUGGCACUGUGUGCUGAGAUCCUCUUCAUAGCUGUCUUUUUAAGUACCCGUAAUAGAAACUUGCAAAGAACCCACCUCCCAACCCAGAACCCCAAUGUCAAGGCUUCUUGAGGUGCCUCUGUUUUACAGGGAUAAAAUUGUGCCCAAAAGGACCCGAUUCCUGUCCCUGAGGAUGGCUGAUUUGUGCCUCUUGGAAGACCAAUCUGUUUUAAAAUCAGGCAUAAAAAUUGAUGGUACCUAUUCACUCAUCACUUGUGGAAGCCUUUGUUGCAGUGUUGAAGCUUAGCAAAGAUUGAAUGCCAGAGAUGUGAUACUGUAAGAAAUACCCAAUCAUAAAGCUACCAGUGUAAGCUCAGAGAUCUUUCGUAAGCUAAAUUACAUCCCUGCAAAUCACAUAACACUGCAUUUUCUUAUAUGCCUCAUAUGCUGGAUGUUCUGUUAAGCAAACUGGCUUCCAAUGCGCAUGAGGGGGAAACACUACAUCACCGCUGCUGUAAACAACAAGUGAGUGGGAUUUCUUUUCAACACCAAACAAUGUGAAUCAGCGCUGUGAAAACCAGGUUGGUGAGAGGUUCUCACAAGACAAAUACCAAUUCUCAAACAUGGAAGGAAAUGUAAAAAAGAAAAAAAACUAUCUCUUUCCAGAUGGUGGAUAUGCUUUUUUAUUUUUCUUUCCUAUCUUUGUACCAAAAAGUACAUAUGAGUUUUUCAUUCACUGAUGUGCAACCUACUUCUGAAUGCUGGCUUUUAAUAACUUUUUUACAAUUUUUUAAUGCUUUAUUUAAAAUCCAUUUAUUCAGUGAAACAAUAAAAAUGUGGUUAAAC